AUACGGAGGGUGCAAGCGUUGUUCGGAUUUAUUGGGCGUAAAGCGAGUGUAGGCGGUUUGACAAGUCGAAUGUGAAAUCCCGAGGCCCAACCUCGGAACUGCAUCCGAAACUGUCAGGCUAGAGUCCCGGAGAGGGUGGCGGAAUUCCCGGUGUAGGGGUGAAAUCCGUAGAUAUCGGGAGGAACACCAGUGGCGAAGGCGGCCACCUGGACGGUGACUGACGCUGAGACUCGAAAGUGUGGGUAGCAAACAGGAUUAGAAACCCUAGUAGUCC
RNAcentral lists this ribosomal RNA (274 nucleotides) under uncultured bacterium. RNAcentral's name for it is "partial 16S ribosomal RNA". It matches the Rfam family "Bacterial small subunit ribosomal RNA", at positions 523 to 796 of the family's 1533-position model. The record is from RNAcentral.